Molecule: long non-coding RNA, 281 nt
Organism: Sarcophilus harrisii (Tasmanian devil)
Lineage: Eukaryota; Metazoa; Chordata; Mammalia; Dasyuromorphia; Dasyuridae
Exons: 2
Source: RefSeq, a predicted model, not a curated record
AUCUGAGACCAGAUUUGCACUUAUGUCUUCCUGACUCCAAGUCCAGCAAUUUAUCCACUGUGCCACCUAGCUGCCCUCUUGAGGAUAAGUGACCUUCCCAAUAUCACAUAGCAGAAUGUGCCAGGACCAAGGGAACAUAUCAUACCAGAAGCCAAGAACAAGGAUUAUUUCCCUUCUCUCAAAUUCAUAGAAACCUGACAUUUCUUCAGUUUUAUCAAACAAAAAAGAAGAGUCAGCUCAUCCUAUAUUCACAGAUUCCAGAUGUCACAUCAACUCAUAAG